Molecule: ribosomal RNA, 256 nt
Filed under: uncultured bacterium
Lineage: Bacteria
Description: partial 16S ribosomal RNA
Rfam family: Bacterial small subunit ribosomal RNA
Source: RNAcentral
UACGUAGGGGGCGAGCGUUGUCCGGAUUCAUUGGGCGUAAAGAGCUCGUAGGCGGCUUGCUAAGUCAGGUGUGAAAUCUCCAGGCUCAACCUGGAGUCGCCACCUGAUACUGGUAUGGCUUGAGUCCGGUAGGGGAUCACGGAAUUCCUGGUGUAGCGGUGAAAUGCGCAGAUAUCAGGAGGAACACCGGUGGCGAAGGCGGAUCUCUGGGCCUUACCUGACGCUGAGGCGCGAAAGCUAGGGGGAGCGAACAGGA